AUUGAACGCUGGCGGCAUGCCUUACACAUGCAAGUCGAACGGCAGCAUGGGUGCUUGCACCUGAUGGCGAGUGGCGAACGGGUGAGUAAUGCAUCGGAACGUACCCGGAAGUGGGGGAUAACGUAGCGAAAGUUACGCUAAUACCGCAUAUUCUGUGAGCAGGAAAGCGGGGGAUCGCAAGACCUCGCGCUUCCGGAGCGGCCGAUGUCGGAUUAGCUAGUUGGCGGGGUAAAGGCCCACCAAGGCAACGAUCCGUAGCGGGUCUGAGAGGACGAUCCGCCACACUGGGACUGAGACACGGCCCAGACUCCUACGGGAGGCAGCAGUGGGGGAAUUUUGGACAAUGGGCGCAAGCCUGAUCCAGCCAUGCCGCGUGAGUGAAGAAGGCCCUAGGGUUGUAAAGCUCUUUUGUCGGGGACGAUAAUGACGGUACCCGAAGAAUAAGCUCCGGCUAACUUCGUGCCAGCAGCCGCGGUAAU
RNAcentral lists this ribosomal RNA (479 nucleotides) under uncultured bacterium. Its description in RNAcentral is "bacterial SSU rRNA". It matches the Rfam family "Bacterial small subunit ribosomal RNA", at positions 29 to 524 of the family's 1533-position model. The record is from RNAcentral.